GGAUUUUAAGUUACUUUAAACUAUAUACCUUCAAAGUAUAAAACAAUCUUAUGAUUAAAUCUU
Molecule: transfer RNA, 63 nt
Filed under: Ixodes vespertilionis
Lineage: Eukaryota; Metazoa; Arthropoda; Arachnida; Ixodida; Ixodidae
Description: tRNA-Trp
Source: RNAcentral